AAAAUGGAUUAUAUUAACCCAUGGUUCUUUAUUUUCAACGAUGGCAGACAUGCUCGACCAAACAAGCUUCGUCUGUUGUACACCUCGCCUUGGUCGCUGCUAGUUUUUGAAAAUGGAGGUAUAACCCCAGCCUCUGUAUCAUGAUGAUGCAUGUGACCCUCUUAUUAAAAAUCCAGAAAGUAUGAUCAUAAAGGUUUUAUGAUCGCAAACGGAGCAAAACAAAGUGCAUAAACCAGAAAAAUACAAGCGGACAAAGACCACCGAUACGGUAAUAAUAAGGAUAAGCUCUCUAGACUCCUAUCCUGUUAUGCAAACGCCAUCCGAACCGGUUGAAAAUAACCCGAGCCACCAUCUCCCAUUGAUUGCACCCAGUAACCAAAGGCUCCCUGGAAUCCAUAAGAGUGAGUAAGGACCACGUACGGAUCCAAGCUAUAGCUCUGAAGAUAACCUGCAAAAAAGUUAAGUUGUGUUGUCUAUUAAAAAUCAUAUCAUUUCUGCAGUUCCAUAUAGCCUAUAGUAACGCACAUAUUCCAAUCCGAAUACGUGCUGCCGUGAUCUGUUCAACCCCAGCUAACCACGUCCCAAACAAAGACGAAAUAUCUACUGAAGGAUUGAUAUUAAAAGCUAUAUGAAUCGUUCUCCAAAAUAACUUGGCAAGUGGGCAUUCAAGGAAUAAAUGUUGUAUUGUCUCAUCCUGAGCACAAAAACAACACCGCGAGUUGCCUACCCAUCGUCUCUUAAGUAAGUUGUCAUUUGUGAGUAUUACUUGUUUGUGGACAAACCACAUAAAAAUUUUAAUCCACAAAGGAACCUUAACCUUCCAUAUAUGUAGUGACCUUGAGAGGGGGCCAGAAUUAAUCAGAUCCGUAUAAAAGGAUUUCACCGUAAAUAUCCCAUUUUUAGUUAACUUCCAUUGUGUUGAGUCCGGCAUGUCGGAGAGUCGAACUUCAAUCAAUCUCCAAACCAAGUGCAUCCAGGCUGUCCAUCUCUCACCCACUAACGUACGUCUGAACUGGAUGUUCAAGGGAAUAGUUUGAAGGACGAUACCUACGUAAUCUUCCUUACGUUGCAUAAUAUUGUAAAGGGUAGGAUAUUGGUCGCUGCUAGUAGAUUUUGAUUGGAGACGCUGCUAUGUGCCAAACAUGUUUAAGUCACCUUUGAUGAUAUACAAAAAGGAACAGGGAAGACCGGUUGCUUACAUGAUACCCGUGCUCUUACUUGAAGAACCUUAGUUUCCAUUCUAAACCCUUCUGUUCCAACACGACAUCAUGUUGUCAAUAUACUGAGAGAAUCAGAUAUAUGAAAGUAAAAUUUAUGAUGAAAUAAAUAAGAAAACAAGUUAUACACGAAAGACGCUAUAGUUUUUACUUUUUCCCUCGACAUGUUGGGACAUUUAGGGCAAUGUGAUAAUAAAAUUGAGAGAAUCAGCUAUAUGAUAUAAAAGUAAAAUUUAUGAUGAAAUAAAAAUGAAAACAAGUUAUGCAUGGAAGAAGGCGCUACAGUUUUUACUUUUUCCCUUGGCAUAGUUGGGACAUUCAGGGACAAUGUGAAUGUUCAAUAAUAAAAUUCAGAUGGGCAUAGAAGAUGAGAUUCAGCUUCUGAUGAUCAGGGAGCACUGUCAUCAACGACAAAAUAAAGAUAAUAUAUAAUAAUGCAACAUAAAAAGUAAUAGCAAUGCUAUGUUCCAAGGAAGCAACUUCCGAAGACCAAAAAACAGAAGUGGUGGGAGCAUAUAUUCUUAUAGGCAGGCCAGAGGGGCAUAUUUAUUGGUAAGUACUUCUACAUGUUUUUUUGGCAAAAAAAAAGUACUUCUACAUGUUUAUUUCAUUUAUGUACUAGUAACAGUCAUGAAGGAAAGCACGUAUUACUACUACGCAGUGAAGGUCCUUUCCUCACUUGUGCAGAUAACUUUUGGUUGAACAGCUACAGUACAUAUGUGAAUAGGUUGCGCCAGUAAGCUUCAUCGCACUGUAAUGAAACAAAAGGAUAAAUAAUUUAAAAAGCCAGCAACGAUUGAUGCCAAGAAGAGGUCAGUAUCCAGCUCUUUGAAAUGGAAAUAAGCCAAACUGGAGGCUAGCACUAACCUAGCAUUGCUCCGAACAUCAUAAGAAGAGAAAAAUUAAAUUACUUGUGCAGUCAGCUAAAUAAUCAAUGUUACUCAUGCAGUCGGCUGAAGAUAGAAUAGCAGGUUGCUUUCACCUAAAGAAUGAAGAUUGCCAUGAAUAAGCAGUAGAGAACUACACAUACUGUUUAUUUGCUAUUCUAAAUUCCAGCAAGUCAUGUUUGUUUUCAAAAAUAGUGUCUGUCGUAAUUUUACCAUUCUCGCUCCCUGUUGAUUCUACAUAGGACCAUGCACAUAAGAUGCCUCCGUUUCCU
RNAcentral lists this long non-coding RNA (2376 nucleotides) under Triticum aestivum (bread wheat). RNAcentral describes it as "long non-coding RNA (TAES_LNC018142)". The record is from RNAcentral. Lineage: Eukaryota; Viridiplantae; Streptophyta; Magnoliopsida; Poales; Poaceae.